RNAcentral lists this unclassified non-coding RNA (193 nucleotides) under uncultured Ascomycota. RNAcentral's name for it is "sequence contains ITS1". The record is from RNAcentral. Lineage: Eukaryota; Fungi; Ascomycota.
UUGAGUUUUAUAAGGAGAUUUGCCUUUUGGCAUCUCUCUUUUUUCUCUCUUUCACCCUUUUGUUAUCAAUCUUCUCAGUUGCUUUGGCAGGUGAAUUGCUCUCCUGCCAAGGGAUUUUUCUAAACACAUUUUUGUUAUCCAAUAAUCGGGAUAUCUCUCGUCUGAUUUCUUAUGACUUUUGAAUAAGUACAUA